Cyprinus carpio carpio is the source of this 9289-nucleotide long non-coding RNA. NCBI's taxonomy places the organism in Eukaryota, Metazoa, Chordata, Actinopteri, Cypriniformes, Cyprinidae. The record is from Ensembl.
AGCAGGCGUAGUGAUCGUUGAAGUCUCUGUUGUUGUAGAUAUUUCUGCUGCACUGAUAGUAGAGGUUUCAGCAGGAAUUGUUGUGAUUGUGGAAGUCUCUGUUGUUGAAGUCAUUUCUGAUACAUUAGUGGUCGAUGUUCCAGCAGAAAUUGUUGUGAUUGUGGAAGUCUCUGUUGUUGUAGAUGUUUCAACUUUACUAGUGGUGGAUGUUUCAGCAGGUGUCGUUAUUCUGGAAGUCUGUGUGCUUGUAGAUGUUUCUGCUGCACUAGUUGUGGAUGUUUCAGCAGGAGUCGUCAUUGGAAUUAUUGUGAUCGUUGAAGUCUCUGUUGUUGUAGAUAUUUCUGCUGCACUGAUGGUGGAUGUUUCAGCUGGAAUUGUUGUGAUUGUGGAUCUCUCUGUUGUUGUAUAUGUUUUUACUACACUGAUAGUAGAGGUUUCAGCAGGAAUUGUUGUGAGUGUGGAAGUCUCUGUUGUUAAAGAAGUUUCCAUAGCACUAAUGGUAGAUGUUUCAGCAGGAAUUCUUGUGAUUGUGGAAGUCUCUGUUGUUGAAGUCAUUUCUGGUACAUCAGUGGUCGAUGUUCCAGCAGGAAUUGUUGUGAUUGUGGAAGUCUCUGUUGUUGUAGAUGUUUCUGCUGCACUAGUUUUGGAUGUUUCAGCAGGAGUAGUGAUUGUGGAAGUCUCUGUUGUUGAAGAUGUUUCUGCUGCACUAGUAGUGGAUGUUUCAGCUGGAAUUAUUGUGAUCGUUGAAGUCUCUGUUGUUGUAGAUAUUUCUGCUGCACUGAUGGUCGAUGUUCCAGCAGGAAUUGUUGUGAUUGUGGAAGUCUCUGUUGUUGUAGAUAUUUCUGCUGCACUAGUUGUGGAUGUUUCAGCAGGAGUAGUGAUUGUGGAAGUCUCUGUUGUUGUAGAUGUUUCUGCUGCAUUAGUGGUGGAUGUUUCAGCUGGAAUUAUUGUGAUCGUUGAAGUGUCUUUUGUUGUAGGUAAUUCUGCUGCAUUGAUGGUGGAUGUUUCAGCUGGAAUUGUUGUGAUUGUGGAACUCUCUGUUGUUGUAGAUGUUUCUACUGCACUAGUUGUGGAUGUUUCAGCAGGAGUCGUUAUUGUUGAAGUCUCUGUUGUUGUGGAUGUUUCUGCUGCAUUAGUGGUCGAUGAUUCAGUAGGAUCUGUAGUGAUUGUGGAAGUCUCUGUUGUUGUAGAUGUUUCUGCUGCACUAGUGGUGGAUGUUUCAGCAGGAAUUGUUGUGAUUGUGGAAGUCUCUGAUGUUGAAGAUGUUUCUGUUGCCCUAGUGAUGGAUGUUUCAGUGGGAAUUGUUGUGAUUGUGGAAGUCUCUGUUGUUGAAGAUAUUUCUGCUACACUAGUGGUGGAUGUUUCAGCAGGAGUCGUUAUUGUGGAAGUCUCUGUGGUUGCAGAUGUUUCUGCUGUACUAGUUCUGGAUGUUUCAGCAGGAGUCUUUAUUGUGGAAUUCCCUGUUGUAGAAGAUGUUUCUGCUACACUAACGGAGGAUGUUUCAGCAGGAGUCAUGAUUGUGGAUGUCUCUUUUGUAGUAGAUAUUUCUGCUUCACUAGGGGUGGAUAUUUCAGGUGUAGUUGAUUUGAUAGUUGAAGUCUCUGUUGUUGUAGAUGUUUCUGCUACACGGAUAGUGGAUGUUUCAGAAGGAAUUGUUGUGAUUGUGGAAGUCUCUGUUGUUGUAAAUGUUUCUGCAGCACUAGUAGUAGAUAUUUCAGCAGGAGUAGUGAUUAUGGAAGUCUCUGUUGUUGUAGAUGUUUCUGCUGCACUAGUGGUGGAUGUUUCAGCAGGAAUUGUUGUGAUGGUGGAUAUCUGUGUAGUAGAUGUUUCUUUUGCAAUGGUGGUGGGUGUUUCAGCAGGUAUUGUUGGGAUUGUGGAAGUCUCUGUUGUUAAAGAUGUUUCUGCUGCAUUAGAGGUGGAUGUUUCAGCAGGAAUAGUGAUUGUGAAACUCUCUGUUGUUGUAGAUGUUUCUGCAACACUAAAAGUGGAUAUUUCAGCUGCAGUUGUUGUGAGUGUUGAAGUCUCUGUUGUUGAAGAUAUUUCUACUACACUAAUAGUGGAUGUUUCAGCAGGAGUCGUGAUUGUGGAAGUCUCCAUUGUUGUAGAUGUUUCUGCUACACUGAUAGUAGAGGUUUCAGCAGGAAUUGUUGUGAUUGUGGAAGUCUCUGUUGUUGAAAAUAUUUCUGCUACACUAGUGGUGGGUGUUUCAGCAGGAGAAGAUGUGAAUGUAGCAGUCUCUGUUGUUAUAGAUGUUUCUGCUACACUAGGGGUGGGUUUUUCAGCAGGAAUCGUUAUUGUUGAAGACUCUUUUGUUGUAGAUAUUUCUGUUUCACUGAUAGUAGAUAUUUCAGCAGAAGUAGUGAUUGUGGAAGUCUUUGUUAUUGAUGAUGUUUCUGUUGCACUAGCGGGGGAUGUUUUAGCAGGAGUUGCUGUGAUUGUGGAUGUGUCUGUUGUUGUAGAUGUUUCUGCUGCACUAAUAGUGGAUGUUUCAGCAGGAAUUGUUGUGAUUGUGGAAGUCUCUGAUGUUGAAGAUGUUUCUGUUGCCCUAGUGAUGGAUGUUUCAGUGGGAAUUGUUGUGAUUGUGGAAGCCUCUGUUGUCGAAGAUUUUUCUGCUACACUUAUAGUCGAUGUUUCAGCCACCGUUGUUGUGAUUGUGGAAGUCUCUGUUGAUGUAGAUGUUUCUGCUUUACUAGUGGUGGAUGUUUCAGUGGGAGUCGUUAUUGUGGAAGUCUCUGUGGUUGCAGAUGUUUCUGCUGUACUAGUUCUGGAUGUUUCAGCAGGAGUCUUUAUUGUGGAAUUCCCUGUUGUAGAAGAUGUUUCUGCUACACUAACGGAGGAUGUUUCAGCAGGAGUCAUGAUUGUGGAUGUCUCUUUUGUAGUAGAUAUUUCUGCUUCACUAGGGGUGGAUAUUUCAGGUGUAGUUGAUUUGAUAGUUGAAGUCUCUGUUGUUGUAGAUGUUUCUGCUACACGGAUAGUGGAUAUUACAGCUGGAGUUGUUGUGCUUGUGGAAGUCUCUGUGGUUAAAGAUGUUUCUGCUGCACUAGUGGUGGAUGUUUCAGAAGGAAUUGUCGUGAUUGUGGAAGUCUCUUUUGUUGUAGAUAUUUCUGCUUCACUGAUAGUAGAUAUUUCAGCAGGAGUAGUGAUUAUGGAAGUCUCUGUUGUAGUAGAUUUUUCUGCUGCACUAGUAGUGGAUGUUUCAGCAGGAGUCGUUGUUGUGGAAGUCUCUGUUGUAGUAGAUGUUUCUGCUGCACUACUGGUGGAUGUUUCAGCAGGAGUAGUUAUUGUAGAAGUCUCUGUUGUUGUAAAUGUUUCUGCUGCAUUAGAGGUGGAUGUUUCAGCAAGAAUAGUGAUUGUGGAAAUCUCUGUUGUUGAAGAUAUUUCUGCUACACUAAUAGUGGAUGUUUCAGCAGGAGUCGUGAUUGUGAAAGUCUCCAUUGUUGUAGAUGUUACUGCUACACUAGUUGUGGAUGUUUUAGCAGGAGAAGGUGUGAUUGUAGUAGUCUCUGUUGUUAUAGAUGUUUCUGCUACACUAAUAGUGGAUGUUUCACCCGGAGGUGUUGUGAAUGUUGAAGUCUCUGUUGUUGAAAAUAUUUCUGCUACACUAGUGGUGGGUGUUUCAGCAGGAAUCAUUAUUGUUGAAGACUCUUUUGUUGUAGAUGUUUCUGUUUCACUGAUAGUAGAUAUUUCAGCAGAAGUAGUGAUUGUGGAAGUCUCUGUUGUUGUAGAUGUUUCUGUUGCACUAGUGGUGGAUGUUUCAGCAGGAGUCUUGAUUGUGGAAGUCUCUGUUGUUGUAGAUGUUUCUGUUACACUGAUAGUAAAGGUUUCAGCAGGAAUUGUUGUGAUUGUGGAAGUCUCUGUUGUUGUAGAUGUUUCUGUUGCACUAGUGCUGGAUGUUUCUUCAGCAGUCAUCAUUGUGGAAGUCCCUGUUCUUGUAGAUGUUUCUGCUGCACUAGUAGAGGAUGUUUCAGCAGGAAUUGUUGUGAUUGUGGAAGUCUCUGUUGAAGACGUUUCUGCAGCACUAGUGGUAGAUGUUUCAGCAGGAAUUUUUGUGAUUGUGGAAGUCUCUGUUGUUGAAGACGUUUCUGCAUCACUAGUGGUGGAUGUUUCAUCAGGAAUUGAUGUGAUGGUGAAUAUCUGUGUAGUAGAUUUUUCUGCUAUACUAGUAGUGGAUGUUUCAGCAGGAGUCGUUGUUGUGGAAGUCUCUGUUGUAGUAGAUGUUUCUGCUGCAUUACUGGUGGAUGUUUCAACAGGAAUUGUUGGGAUUCUGGAAGUCUCUGUUGUUGUAGAAGUUUCUGCUGCACUAGUAGUGGAUGUUUCAGCAGGAUUCAUGACUGUAGAAAUCUCUUUGGUAGUAGAUGUUUCUGCUCCACUAGUGGUGGAUGUUUCAGCAGGUAUUGUUGGGAUUGUGGAAGUCUCUGUUGUUAAAUAUGUGUCUGCUGCACUAGUGGUGUAUGUUUCAACAGGAAUUGUUGGAAUUCUGGAAGUCCCUGUUGUUGUAGAAGAUUCUGCUUCACUAGUGGUGGAUGUUUCAGCAGGAGUAGUGAUUGUGGAAGUGUCUGUUGUUGUAGAUGUUUCUGCUGCAUUAGUGGUGAAUGUUUCAGCAGGAGUCUUUAUUGUGGAAUUCUCUGUUGUAGAAGAUGUUUCUGUUCCACUAGUUGUGGGUGUUUCAGCAGGUAAUGUUGGGAUUGUGGAAGUCUCUGUUGUUGAAGAUAUUUCUGCUACACUAACGGAGGAUGUUUCAGCAGGAGUCAUGAUUGUGGAUGUCUCUUUUGUAGUAGAUAUUUCUGCUUCACUAGGGGUGGAUAUUUCAGGUGUAGUUGAUUUGAUAGUUGAAGUCUCUUUUGUUGUAGAUGUUUCUGCUUCACUGAUAGUAGAUAUUUCAGCAGGAGUAGUGAUUAUGGAAGUCUCUGUUGUUCUAGAUGUUUCUGCUGCACUAGUAGUGGAUGUUUCAGCUGGAAUUGUUGUGAUUGUGGAACUCUCUGUUGUUGUAGAUGUUUCUGUUACACUGAUAGUAAAGGUUUCAGCAGGAAUUGUUGUGAUUGUGUAAGUCUCUGUUGUUAAAGAUAUUUCUGCUGCAUUAGUGGUGGAUGUUUCAGCAGAAGUUGUUGUGAUUGUGGAAGUUUCUGUUGUUGAAGAUGUUUCUGCUGCACUAGUGGUGGAUGUUUCAGGAGGAGUCGUGGAUGUGGUAGUUUCCAUUGUUGUAGAUGUUUCUGCUACACUGAUAGUGGAUGUUUUAGCUGGAGUUGUUAUAAUUGUGGGAAUCUCUGUUGUUGAAAAUAUUUCUGCUACACUAGUGGUGGAUGUUUCAGCAGGAGAAGAUGUGAUUGUAGUAGUCUCUGUUGUUAUAGAUGUUUCUGCUACACUAAUAGUGGAUGUUUCAGCCGCAGGUGUUGUGAAUGUUGAAGUCUCUGUUGUUAAAGAUAUUUCUGCUGCACUAGUGGUGUAUGUUUCAACAGGAAUUGUUGGAAUUGUGGAAGUCCCUGUUGUUGUAGAAGUUUCUGCUGCACUAGUAGCGGAUGUUUCAGCAGGAUUCGUGACUGUGGAAGUUUCUUUGGUAGUUGAUGUUUCUGCUUCACUAGUGGUGGAUGUUUCAGUAGGAGUUGUAAUUGUGAAAGUCUCUGUUGUUGUAUAUGUUUCUGCUACACUUAAAGUGGAUGUUUCAGCAGAAGUUGUUGUGAGUGUGGAAGUCUCUGUUGUUGAAGAUAUUUCUGCUACACUAAUAGUGGAUUUUUCAGCAGGAGUCAUGAUUGUGAAAGUCUCCAUUGUUGUAGAUGUUUCUGCUACACUGAUGGUGGAUGUUUCAGCAGAAAUUAUUUUGAUUGUGGAAGUCUCUGUUGUUAUAGAUGUUUUUUCUGCACUAGUGGUGGAUGUUUCAGUAGGAGUCGUUAUAGUGGAAGUGUCUGUUGUUGUAGAUGUUUCUGUUGCACUAAUGGUGGGUGUUUCAGCAGGAGUUGUUAUUUUUGUGGAAGUCUCCCUCGUUGUAUAUGUUUCUGCAGUACUGGUGGUGGAUGUUUCAGGAGAAGUUGUUGUGAGUGUGGAAGUCUCUGUUGUUGAAGAUAUUUCUACUAAACUAGUGGUGGAUUUUUCAGUAGGAGUCGUUAUAGUGGAAGUGUCUGUUGUUGUAGAUGUUUCUGUUGCACUAAUUGUGGGUGUUUCAGCAGGAGUUGUUGUCAUUGUGGAAGUUUCUGUUGUUGAAUAUCUUUCGGCUGCAUUAGUGGUGGAUGUUUCAGCCGCAGUUGUUGUGAUUUUAAAAGUCUCUGUUGGUGAAGAUAUUUCUGCUACACUAGUGGUGGAUGUUUCAGCAGGAGUCGUGAAAGUGAAAGUCUCCUUUGUUGAAGAUGUUUCUGCUACACUGAUAGUGGAUGUUUCAGCUGGACUUGUCAUGACUGUGGAAGUCACUGUUGUUGAAAAUGAUCCUACUACAUUAGUGGUGGAUGUUUCAGAAGGAGUUGUUGUGAUUGUUGAUCUCUCUGUUGGUAUAGAUGUUUCUGCUUCACUUAUGAUGGAUAUUUUAGCUGUAGUUGUUGUGAUUGUGGAAGUCUCUUUUGUAGUAGAUGUUUCUGGUACACUGAUAGUGGAUGUUUCAGCAGGAAUUGUUGUGAUUGUGGAAGUCUCUGUUGUUGAAGAUAUUUCUACUAAACUAAUGGUGGAUGUUUCAGCAGGAGUCAUUAUUGUGGAAGUCUCUGUUGUUGCAGGUGUUUUUUCUGCACUAGUGGUGGAUGUUUCAGUAGGAAUCGUUAUAGUGGAAGUGUCUGUUGUUGUAGAUGUUUCUGUUGCACUAAUUGUGGGUGUUUCAGCAGGAGUUGUUGUCAUUGUGGAAGUUUCUGUUGUUGAAUAUCUUUCGCCUGCAUUAGUGGUGGAGGUUUCAGCCGCAGUUGUUGUGAUUUUAAAAGUCUCUGUUAGUGAAGAUAUUUCUGCUACACUAGUGGUGGAUGUUUCAGCAGGAGCUGUUGUGAUUGUGGAUCUCUCUGUUGGUGUAGAUGUUUCUGGUGCACUAGUGGUUGAUGUUUCAUCAGGAGUCAUGAUUGUGGAAGUCUCUGAUGUUGAAGAUGUUUCUAUUGCACUAGUGGUGGAUGCUUCAUCAGUAGUCAUGAUUGUGGAAAUCUCUGUUGUUAUAGAUGUUUCUGGUGCACUAGUGGUUGAUGUUUCAUCAGGAGUUGUGAUUGUGGAAGUCUCUGAUGUUGUAGAUGUUUCUGGUGCACUAGUGGUGGAUGUUUCAUCAGGAAUCAUGAUUGUGGAAAUCUCUGUUGUUAUAGAAGUUUCUGGUGCACUAGUGGUGGAUGUUUCAUCAGGAGUCAUGAUUGUGGACGUCUCUAAUGUUGUAGAUGUUUCUAUUGCACUAGUGGUGGAUGUUUCAUCAGGAGUAGUGAUUGUGGAAGUCUCUGUUGUUGUAGAUGUUUCUGCUAAACUAGUGGUGGAUGUUUCAUCAGGAGUCGUCAUUGUGGAAGUCUCUGUUGUUGUAGAUCUUUCUAUUGCACUAGUGGUGGAUGUUUUAUCUGGAGUCAUGAUUGUGGAAGUCUCUGUUGUUGUUGAUGGUUCUGCUGCACUAGUGGUGGAUGUUUCAUCAGGAGUUGUGAUUGUGGAAGUCUCUAUUGUUGUAAAUGUUUCUACUAAACUAGUGGUGGAUGUUUCAUCAGGAGUUGUGAUUGUGGAAGUCUCUAUUGUUGUAAAUGUUUCUACUAAACUAGUGGUGGAUGUAUCAUCAGGAGUUCUGAUUGUAGAAGUCUCUGUUGUUGUAGAUGUUUCCGCAGGAGUCAUGAUUUUGGAAGUCUCUGAUGUUGUAGAAAUUUCUAUUGCAAUAGUGGUGGAUGUUUCAGCAGGAGUUGUGAUUGUGUAAGUCUCUGUUGAUGUAGAUGUUUCUGAUAAAAUAGUGGUGGAUGCUUCAGCAGGAGUCAUGAUUGUUGAAGUCUCUGUUGUUGUACUAGUUUCUGCUAAACUAGUGGUAUAUGUUUCAUCAGGAGUUGUGAUUGUGGAAGUCUCUAUUGUUGUCAAUGUUUCUACUAAAUUAGUGGUGGACGUUUUAUCUGGAGUCAUGAUUGUGGAAGUCUCUGUUGUUGUUAAUGUUUCUGCUGCAAUAGUGGUGGAUGUUUCAGCAGGAGUCAUGAUUGUUGAAGUCUCUGUUGUUGUUGAUGGUUCUGCUGCACUAGUGGUGGAUGUUUCAUCAGGAGUUGUGAUUGUGGAAGUCUCUAUUGUUGUAAAUGUUUCUACUAAACUAGUGGUGGAUGUUUCAUCAGGAGUUGUGAUUGUGGAAGUCUCUAUUGUUGUAAAUGUUUCUACUAAACUAGUGGUGGAUGUUUCAUCAGGAGUUCUGAUUGUAGAAGUCUCUGUUGUUGUAGAUGUUUCCGCAGGAGUCAUGAUUUUGGAAGUCUCUGAUGUUGUAGAAAUUUCUAUUGCAAUAGUGGUGGAUGCUUCAUCAGUAGUCAUGAUUGUGGAAGUCUCUGUUGAUUUAGAUGUUUCUGCCUCACUAGUGGUGGAUGUUUCAGCAGGAGUCAAGGUUGUGGAAGUCUCUGUUGUUGUAAAUGUUUCAGCAGGAGUUGUGAUUGUGUAAGUCUCUGUUGAUGUAGAUGUUUCUGAUAAAAUAGUGGUGGAUGCUUCAGCAGGAGUCAUGAUUGUUGAAGUCUCUGUUGUUGUACUAGUUUCUGCUAAACUAGUGGUAUAUGUUUCAUCAGGAGUUGUGAUUGUGGAAGUCUCUAUUGUUGUCAAUGUUUCUACUAAAAUAGUGGUGGAUGUUUCAGCAGGAGUCAUGAUUGUGGAAGCCUCUGUUGUUGUAGAUGUUUCCGGUGUACUAGUGAUGGAUGUUUCAGCAGGAAUCGUUAUUGUGGAAAUCUCUGAUGUUGUAGAUGUUUCUAUUGCACUAGCGGUGGAUGUUUUAUCUGGAGUCAUGAUUGUUGAAGUCUCUGUUGUUGUAGAUGUUUCUGCUAAACUAGUGGUGGAUGUUUCAUCAGGAGUCAUUAUUGUGGAAGUCUCUGUUGUUGUAGAUGUUUCUGCUAAACUAGUGGUGGAUGUUUCAUCAGGAGUCAUCAUUGUGGAAGUCUCUGUUGUUGUAGAUGUUUCUGGUGCACUAGUGGUGGAUGUUUCAUCAGGUGUCGUGAUUGUGGAAGUCUCUGUUGUUGUAGAUGUUUCUGGUGCACUAGUGCUGGAUGUGUCAUCAGGUGUCGUGAUUGUGGAAGUCUCUGUUGUUGUAGAUGUUUCUGGUGCACUAGUGCUGGAUGUUUCAUCAGGUGUCGUGAUUGUGGAAGUCUCUGUUGUUGUAGAUGUUUCUGGUGCACUAGUGGUGGAUGUUUCAUCA